GCGAGUCAUUGUAGCAUACAAGGCAGACGGCUCAGUAACGCGUAGUCAAUCUACCCUAUGGACGGGAAUAACCUCGGGAAACUGAGAAUAAUGCCCGACAGAACAUUAUACCUGGAACGGUUUAUGUUUCAAAUGAUUUAUCGCCGUAGGAUGGGACUGCGGCCUAUCAGUUUGUUGGUGAGGUAAUGGCCCACCAAGACUAUUACAGGUACGGGCUCUGAGAGGAGUAGCCCGGAGAUGGGUACUGAGACACGGACCCAGGCCCUAUGGGGCGCAGCAGGCGAGAAAACUUUGCAAUGUGCGAAAGCACGACAAGGUUAAUCCGAGUGGUUUCUGCUAAAGAAACCUUUUGCUAGUCCUAGAAACACUAGUGAAUAAGGGGUGGGCAAGUUCUGGUGUCAGCCGCCGCGGUAAAACCAGCACCUCAAGUGGUCAGGAUGAUUAUUGGGCCUAAAGCAUCCGUAGCUCGUUUUGUAAGUUUUCGGUUAAAUCCAUACGCUUAACGUAUGGGCUGCCGGGAAUACUGCAUAACUAGGAAGUGGGAGAGGUAGACGGUACUCGGUAGGAAGGGGUAAAAUCCUUUGAUCUAUUGAUGACCACCUGUGGCGAAGGCGGUCUACCAGAACACGUUCGACGGUGAGGGAUGAAAGCUGGGGGAGCAAACCGGAUUAGAUACCCGGGUAGUCCCAGCUGUAAACUAUGCAAACUCAGUGAGGCAUUGGCUUGUGGCCAAUGCAGUGCUGCAGGGAAGCCGUUAAGUUUGCCGCCUGGGAAGUACGUACGCAAGUAUGAACUUAAAGGAAUUGGCGGGGGAGCACCACAAGGGGUGAAGCCUGCGGU
This 840-nucleotide ribosomal RNA is filed under the name uncultured archaeon. RNAcentral describes it as "bacterial SSU rRNA". It matches the Rfam family "Archaeal small subunit ribosomal RNA", at positions 53 to 901 of the family's 1478-position model. The record is from RNAcentral.